RNAcentral lists this long non-coding RNA (1613 nucleotides) under Calidris pugnax (ruff). RNAcentral describes it as "lncRNA (ENSCPUG00000004554.1)". Lineage: Eukaryota; Metazoa; Chordata; Aves; Charadriiformes; Scolopacidae. The record is from RNAcentral.
AAGCGACCACGGUGCAGUAAUCUACUUGUUUCUUUUGUUCCCCCCUCCCUCCAGAGGAUGUUUGUAAGCAGGCAGUCAUAGAGAAUACAGAAAUAAAAAGAGGGGGUUGGGUAUGUGAGCUGUUUUACUAAAAGCAGACAAAGGGAUUUAUUACAACUACUUGAAAGGACACUGUGGAGAGGUUGGUGCUGGUCUCUUCUCGCAGGUAAUUAACAACAGAACAAGAGGGAACGGCUUCAAGCUCCAACAGGGUAGGUUUAGACUGAACAUUAGGAAGGAAUUUUUCACUGAAAGAGUGGUCGGGCAUUGGAGUAGGCUGCCCAGGGAGGUGGUUGAGUCACCAUCCCUGGAUGUGUUUAAGGGACGUUUAGAUGCGGUACUGAGGGAUAUGGUGUAGGGGAGGACUUUGUAGAGUAGGGUAGAUGGUUGGACUCGAUGAUCCCAAGGGUCUCUUCCAACCUGAACGAUUCUAUGAUUCUAUGAUUCUAUGACCUCACAGCUGCUGACAGGGCGACAGCCACGUGUCACCCCUGCAUCACAGACACAGGCUGGUAUUUAUACAGGAGCUGAGCCAGGCCCAGCAGCAGUCUGCCUCUGAGCCUCUGGGUGAAAAUACAGGGAGAACAGGGAAGGAGGAGCAGGUGAAAUCAUGCCUGGGGCUGGCCACUCCUCAGAGUCUCCUUGUCUCUCCAUGGCAAGUUCCAGGCACGCCGUGCUCGGAGGAAUAAGCCCGGAGGCCUUAAUCGUUUCCCACACUUUCGUGGGGGCACUGGUGGCCCUGCUGAUGUUCUGCUUCCUGGAGAUCAUGGGCUGGACCCCGGGAGCGACACCACGGAAGUGCCGAUGUGGAGGCAAGAAGGGGAAAGGCCGAGGUGUGCAGCCCCGGGGCAAGGGCCAGCGCCCUGCGAAGACCCCACCUGUCCCCACGUGCCCACUGCCCCAACCGGGGAUGGCCUCUCCCCUCACUCUGUCCCCUGGGUCUUCAGACUCUGUCCUCCUGGAGCCUUCACAGCCCUUGAGGAUGAACUGGCCCAUGCACCCAGACGUGGAUGGUUGGAGUGAAGCAGUCGAGCAAUUAAACAGGACUCUCAAGGACUUUGAAAGACACCUGGAAUCGUCCAACUGUGAGACCGUUGAAGGCAGAGACAGCUCUCUAACUUCCACCAUGGGCCUCACCCAUGAAUCCACACUGGAGCAAGAACUGGACCUGACGGUGACUGUAAAAACUCUACAAGAUGUUCCAGCCUCAGCUCCUCCUAGACCCCACCAACCAGAAAACCGUGGUGUGGUGGUUCCGAUCGUGUUGGAUCCGCCCUUCCUGGAUGAGGCUGCGAAAAGGGACCUAGAGGCUCUCAUUUCAAAAAUGAAAAUCCAGAGGCGCUAUGGGCUGCAAAGGUGGAUCCUGGAUUGUGAGCCGUGCUUUGAAUUUAUCGAGCGGAAAUUGAAAGACUCUGGGACUUUCCCUCCAGAGGAACACCUGGGCUGCCCUAGCAGAUCAAAGGCAGAUGAACAGAGUCCUCCUCUGACCAACAGUGUGCACCAGCAAAAUGGAGAGAUCCAGCUGCCUCCUCCUGCUCCACGUUGAAAUAAAAGUGCUGGUUUUGUUCUAUUCA